Pieris napi is the source of this 170-nucleotide long non-coding RNA. RefSeq lists it as uncharacterized. Lineage: Eukaryota; Metazoa; Arthropoda; Insecta; Lepidoptera; Pieridae. The record is from RefSeq and is a predicted model, not a curated record. The transcript is spliced from 2 exons.
CGUCAAAUUAAAAGUUGCUCUUCCCUCGCUGAAAUCGUUGUUUACCAGUGAGUUAGCCAUUUUUAGCGAAGUUAAAACUUGUUUUAUGUGAAAAUAUUCUAACAUAGGACAAUCUAUAUGUAUCUUGGGAAGGCCCGUUUCCACUUUUAAAGUUUAAACCUCUAUUUCAA